RNAcentral lists this transfer RNA (65 nucleotides) under Blastopsylla occidentalis. Its description in RNAcentral is "tRNA-Pro". Lineage: Eukaryota; Metazoa; Arthropoda; Insecta; Hemiptera; Aphalaridae. The record is from RNAcentral.
AACAAAUAGUUUAUCUAAAACUUUAGUUUUGGAGACUAAAAAUAUUACAAUGUAAUUUUGUUGAG